GACGAACGCUGGCGGCGUGCUUAACACAUGCAAGUCGAACGGAAAGGCCCUGCUUUUGUGGGGUGCUCGAGUGGCGAACGGGUGAGUAACACGUGAGUAACCUGCCCUUGACUUUGGGAUAACUUCAGGAAACUGGGGCUAAUACCGGAUAGGAGCUCCUGCUGCAUGGUGGGGGUUGGAAAGUUUCGGCGGUUGGGGAUGGACUCGCGGCUUAUCAGCUUGUUGGUGGGGUAGUGGCUUACCAAGGCUUUGACGGGUAGCCGGCCUGAGAGGGUGACCGGCCACAUUGGGACUGAGAUACGGCCCAGACUCCUAGGGGAGGCAGCAGUGGGGAAUAUUGCACAAUGGGCGGAAGCCUGAUGCAGCAACGCCGCGUGCGGGAUGACGGCCUUCGGGUUGUAAACCGCUUUCGCCUGUGACGAAGCGUGAGUGACGGUAAUGGGUAAAGAAGCACCGGCUAACUACGUG
RNAcentral lists this ribosomal RNA (468 nucleotides) under uncultured bacterium. RNAcentral describes it as "partial 16S ribosomal RNA". It matches the Rfam family "Bacterial small subunit ribosomal RNA", at positions 28 to 507 of the family's 1533-position model. The record is from RNAcentral.